This 248-nucleotide ribosomal RNA is filed under the name uncultured bacterium. RNAcentral's name for it is "partial 16S ribosomal RNA". It matches the Rfam family "Bacterial small subunit ribosomal RNA", at positions 524 to 771 of the family's 1533-position model. The record is from RNAcentral.
UACGUAGGGCGCAAGCGUUGUCCGGAAUUAUUGGGCGUAAAGAGCUCGUAGGCGGUUUGUCGCGUCUGCUGUGAAAACCUAAGGCUCAACCUUGGGCUUGCAGUGGGUACGGGCAGACUAGAGUGCGGUAGGGGUGACUGGAAUUCCUGGUGUAGCGGUGAAAUGCGCAGAUAUCAGGAGGAACACCGAUGGCGAAGGCAGGUCUCUGGGCCACUACUGACGCUGAGAAGCGAAAGCAUGGGGAGCGA